CCUACGGGCGGCUGCAGUGGGGAAUAUUGGACAAUGGGGGCAACCCUGAUCCAGCCAUGCCGCGUGUGUGAAGAAGGCCCUCGGGUUGUAAAGCACUUUCAGUGAGGAAGAACGCCUGGUGGUUAAUACCCAUCAGGAAAGACAUCACUCACAGAAGAAGCACCGGCUAACUCCGUGCCAGCAGCCGCGGUAAUACGGAGGGUGCGAGCGUUAAUCGGAAUUACUGGGCGUAAAGCGCGCGUAGGUGGCUUGAUAAGCCGGUUGUGAAAGCCCCGGGCUCAACCUGGGAACGGCAUCCGGAACUGUCAAGCUAGAGUGCAGGAGAGGAAGGUAGAAUUCCCGGUGUAGCGGUGAAAUGCGUAGAGAUCGGGAGGAAUACCAGUGGCGAAGGCGGCCUUCUGGACUGACACUGACACGGAGGUGCGAAAGCGUGGGUAGCAAACAGGAUUAGAUACCCGAGUAGUC
This 465-nucleotide ribosomal RNA is filed under the name Vreelandella stevensii. RNAcentral describes it as "partial 16S ribosomal RNA". It matches the Rfam family "Bacterial small subunit ribosomal RNA", at positions 338 to 795 of the family's 1533-position model. Lineage: Bacteria; Pseudomonadati; Pseudomonadota; Gammaproteobacteria; Oceanospirillales; Halomonadaceae. The record is from RNAcentral.